Molecule: ribosomal RNA, 763 nt
Filed under: Microbacterium sp.
Lineage: Bacteria; Bacillati; Actinomycetota; Actinomycetes; Micrococcales; Microbacteriaceae
Description: bacterial SSU rRNA
Rfam family: Bacterial small subunit ribosomal RNA
Source: RNAcentral
AGGAUGAACGCUGGCGGCGUGCUUAACACAUGCAAGUCGAACGGUGAAGCAGAGCUUGCUCUGUGGAUCAGUGGCGAACGGGUGAGUAACACGUGAGCAAUCUGCCCCUGACUCUGGGAUAAGCGCUGGAAACGGCGUCUAAUACCGGAUACGAGCUGCGACCGCAUGGUCGGCAGUUGGAAAGAAUUUCGGUCAGGGAUGAGCUCGCGGCCUAUCAGCUUGUUGGUGAGGUAAUGGCUCACCAAGGCGUCGACGGGUAGCCGGCCUGAGAGGGUGACCGGCCACACUGGGACUGAGACACGGCCCAGACUCCUACGGGAGGCAGCAGUGGGGAAUAUUGCACAAUGGGCGAAAGCCUGAUGCAGCAACGCCGCGUGAGGGAUGACGGCCUUCGGGUUGUAAACCUCUUUUAGCAGGGAAGAAGCGAAAGUGACGGUACCUGCAGAAAAAGCGCCGGCUAACUACGUGCCAGCAGCCGCGGUAAUACGUAGGGCGCAAGCGUUAUCCGGAAUUAUUGGGCGUAAAGAGCUCGUAGGCGGUCUGUCGCGUCUGCUGUGAAAACCCGAGGCUCAACCUCGGGCCUGCAGUGGGUACGGGCAGACUAGAGUGCGGUAGGGGAGAUUGGAAUUCCUGGUGUAGCGGUGGAAUGCGCAGAUAUCAGGAGGAACACCGAUGGCGAAGGCAGAUCUCUGGGCCGUAACUGACGCUGAGGAGCGAAAGGGUGGGGAGCAAACAGGCUUAGAUACCCUGGUAGUCCACCCCG